RNAcentral lists this unclassified non-coding RNA (285 nucleotides) under plant metagenome. RNAcentral's name for it is "partial contains small subunit ribosomal RNA, internal transcribed spacer 1, and 5.8S ribosomal RNA". The stretch from base 1 to 54 matches the Rfam family "Eukaryotic small subunit ribosomal RNA", at positions 1778 to 1831 of the family's 1831-position model. The record is from RNAcentral.
GGAAGUAAAAGUCGUAACAUGGUUUCCGUAGGUGAACCUGCGGAAGGAUCAUUAUUGUAUAACCGAGGUGCGAGGGCUGUCGCUGACCCGAAAGGUCGUGCACGCCCGAGUGCCCUCACACACAUCCAUCUCACCCCUAUGUGCACCACCGCGUGGGUCCCCCUUUGGCUUGUUCGGAGGGGGGCUUACGUUUUCACACAAACUUUGUAUGCAGUGUAGAAUGUAUUUUUUGUUUUUGCGAUCACGCAAUCAAUACAACUUUCAACAACGGAUCUCUUGGCUCUC